AAUUCGUCGGCUAAAGUCCGAAAAAAAAUUCGUCAGCUAAAGUCCACUUUAGCCGACGAAAAAAUAUAAUUUCGUCGGCUAAAGUGCCUUAUAUUUGCAGAUCUAGACAACAACUCAUCUGAGAAAAAAAACUAUACGUAGAACCUUCAAACGCAAAAAAGUCGUGAAAUAAGAUAUGACCAGAACGGUGAAAUACGACUACGGUUGAAAAUAUAUGAAAAGUCGUCGGCUAAGGUCAAAAAAUUUCAAAAUUUUUUAGGCGGUAAACCAAAGUUGGAGGAAAAUUUUCAAAGGAUUUUAGCCGACGAAAAUAUAUGAAAAGUCGUCGGCUAAAGUCGAAAAAUUUUCAAAAUUUUCAACCAAAAUUUUUUGGCGGUCAACCAAAAUUUUCAAAAGAGUUUAGCCGACGAAAAUAAAGAAUUUCGUCGGCUAAAGUUCUUUAUAUAGGCGAAGAUGGAUGGUAAGAAGUCUAUUAUCUGCCAGAUUUUCUUCUCGGCCUAGCUCCGCCGUCAAGCCACCGGAGACCGUCACACUAGUCCCAAAAGCUUCGCCGUCGUCUUUACUUCAUUGCUGGAUAGGUGGUGCAUCGAGUGGCGCCGCCAUGAGGGAUAAAUCGAGCUCCAAAACUCCGCCGGUUCGGAUUCGGUGUCGAUCAAAUUUCUCCUUCCUUAGGUCACCAUUUGGUGAGUUCUAUAUAUGGAUAAGUUGAGUUUGAUUAGUACUACAUUCCCCUAGAAUUUGGUAGCCUGAUUCGGUGUGUGUGAAGAGAAUCGAAGAUUUGAAGUUUUUAGGGUUUAAAAUUGGGGAUUUUUAUAUUUUGAGUCGAUUGACCUGUUUAGGCUUAGAAUUGAGCUUCGAUUUCUUCUAGAAAGUUGUUCGAAAUGUUGAGACGAAGAUUCUGUCAAAUUUUGGUCGUGAUUGGAGGUGGCCGAAAGUUUCUGCAGUUUUUUUUUUCUAAAACCCAGCAACUUUAGCCGACGAUAUUUAUUCGUCGGCUAUAGUAUUUUUUAAUUUUUUUAUAAGGUUUAGCCGACGAAUUAUGGCAUGUUUCGUCGGCUAUAGUUAUUUUUUAAUUUUUUAUAAGGUUUAGCCGACGAAAUAUAGUAUAUUUCGUCGGCUAUAGUUAUUUUUUAAAUUUUUAUAAGGUUUAGCCGACGAAAUAUAGUAAAUUUCGUCGGCUAUAGUUAUUUUUUAAAUUUUUAUAAGGUUUAGCCGACGAAAUAUAGUAAAUUUCGUCGGCUAUAGUUAUUUUUUAAUUAUUUAUUAGACACUUUAGCCGACGAAUAUAUUAAUUGUUUCGUCGGCUAAAGUCUGGGAAAAAAACCGACGACAUGUUUUUCGUCGGCUAACUGUGGGACUAUAGCCGACGAAAAUAAAAAUUUCGUCGGCUAAAGUCAUCACCGACGACCUUUUCCCGACGACACUAUAGCCGACGAGCCUUCGUCGGCUAAGAUCUUAGCCGACGAAUUAAGAUAACAGGCCGACGA
Molecule: long non-coding RNA, 1487 nt
Filed under: Fragaria vesca (wild strawberry)
Lineage: Eukaryota; Viridiplantae; Streptophyta; Magnoliopsida; Rosales; Rosaceae
Description: long non-coding RNA (FVES_LNC004983)
Source: RNAcentral